AUGCUGACAUAAGUAACGAUAAAGCGGGUGAAAAGCCCGCUCGCCGGAAGACCAAGGGUUCCUGUCCAACGUUAAUCGGGGCAGGGUGAGUCGACCCCUAAGGCGAGGCCGAAAGGCGUAGUCGAUGGGAAACAGGUUAAUAUUCCUGUACUUGGUGUUACUGCGAAGGGGGGACGGAGAAGGCUAUGUUGGCCGGGCGACGGUUGUCCCGGUUUAAGCGUGUAGGCUGGUUUUCCAGGCAAAUCCGGAAAAUCAAGGCUGAGGCGUGAUGACGAGGCACUACGGUGCUGAAGCAACAAAUGCCCUGCUUCCAGGAAAAGCCUCUAAGCAUCAGGUAACAUCAAAUCGUACCCCAAACCGACACAGGUGGUCAGGUAGAGAAUACCAAGGCGCUUGAGAGAACUCGGGUGAAGGAACUAGGCAAAAUGGUGCCGUAACUUCGGGAGAAGGCACGCUGAUAUGUAGGUGAAGUCCCUCGCGGAUGGAGCUGAAAUCAGUCGAAGAUACCAGCUGGCUGCAACUGUUUAUUAAAAACACAGCACUGUGCAAACACGAAAGUGGACGUAUACGGUGUGACGCCUGCCCGGUGCCGGA
Molecule: ribosomal RNA, 594 nt
Filed under: Escherichia coli
Lineage: Bacteria; Pseudomonadati; Pseudomonadota; Gammaproteobacteria; Enterobacterales; Enterobacteriaceae
Description: partial 23S ribosomal RNA
Rfam family: Bacterial large subunit ribosomal RNA
Source: RNAcentral